UGGACUUGACAUGUAGGUGGUAGGAACCCGAAAGGGCGACGACCUAGUUUUCUAGGAGCCUACAC
RNAcentral lists this ribosomal RNA (65 nucleotides) under uncultured bacterium. RNAcentral's name for it is "partial 16S ribosomal RNA". The record is from RNAcentral.